This 468-nucleotide ribosomal RNA is filed under the name uncultured bacterium. RNAcentral describes it as "partial 16S ribosomal RNA". It matches the Rfam family "Bacterial small subunit ribosomal RNA", at positions 38 to 507 of the family's 1533-position model. The record is from RNAcentral.
GAGGAAAGAGGGGGGCGGGCGGAACACAUGCAAGUCGAACGGAAAGGCCCUGCUUUUGUGGGGUGCUCGAGUGGCGAACGGGUGAGUAACACGUGAGUAACCUGCCCUUGACUUUGGGAUAACUUCAGGAAACUGGGGCUAAUACCGGAUAGGAGCUCCUGCUGCAUGGUGGGGGUUGGAAAGUUUCGGCGGUUGGGGAUGGACUCGCGGCUUAUCAGCUUGUUGGUGGGGUAGUGGCUUACCAAGGCUUUGACGGGUAGCCGGCCUGAGAGGGUGACCGGCCACAUUGGGACUGAGAUACGGCCCAGACUCCUACGGGAGGCAGCAGUGGGGAAUAUUGCACAAUGGGCGGAAGCCUGAUGCAGCAACGCCGCGUGCGGGAUGACGGCCUUCGGGUUGUAAACCGCUUUCGCCUGUGACGAAGCGUGAGUGACGGUAAUGGGUAAAGAAGCACCGGCUAACUACGUG